AUGCAAUCUACCUUUUACAGAGGGAUAGCCCAGAGAAAUUUGGAUUAAUACCUCAUAGUAUUAUUUACUGGCAUCAUUAAAUAAUUAAAGUUCCAACGGUAAAAGAUGCGCAUGCGUCCCAUUAGCUAGAUGGUAAGGUAACGGCUUACCAUGGCGACGAUGGGUAGGGGUCCUGAGAGGGAGAUCCCCCACACUGGUACUGAGACACGGACCAGACUCCUACGGGAGGCAGCAGUGAGGAAUAUUGG
Molecule: ribosomal RNA, 248 nt
Filed under: uncultured Bacteroidota bacterium
Lineage: Bacteria; Pseudomonadati; Bacteroidota
Description: uncultured Bacteroidetes bacterium partial 16S ribosomal RNA
Rfam family: Bacterial small subunit ribosomal RNA
Source: RNAcentral